AUUGAACGCUGGCGGCAGGCCUAACACAUGCAAGUCGAGCGGAUGAAGGGAGCUUGCUCCUGGAUUCAGCGGCGGACGGGUGAGUAAUGCCUAGGAAUCUGCCUGGUAGUGGGGGAUAACGUCCGGAAACGGGCGCUAAUACCGCAUACGUCCUGAGGGAGAAAGUGGGGGAUCUUCGGACCUCACGCUAUCAGAUGAGCCUAGGUCGGAUUAGCUAGUUGGUGGGGUAAAGGCCUACCAAGGCGACGAUCCGUAACUGGUCUGAGAGGAUGAUCAGUCACACUGGAACUGAGAAACGGGCCAGAAUCCUACGGGAGGCAGCAGUGGGGAAUAUUGGACAAUGGGCGAAAGCCUGAUCCAGCCAUGCCGCGGGUGUGAAGAAGGUCUUCGGAUUGUAAAGCACUUUAAGUUGGGAGGAAGGGCAGUAAGUUAAUACCUUGCUGUUUGGACGUUACCAACAGAAUAAGCACCGGCUAACUGCGU
Molecule: ribosomal RNA, 483 nt
Filed under: uncultured bacterium
Lineage: Bacteria
Description: partial 16S ribosomal RNA
Rfam family: Bacterial small subunit ribosomal RNA
Source: RNAcentral